CCUACGAGUGGCAGCAGUGAGGAAUAUUGGUCAAUGGGCUUACGCCUGAACCAGCCAAGUCGCGUGAGGGAAGACUGCCCUAUGGGUUGUAAACCUCUUUUGUCAGGGAGCAACGCCGGCUACGUGUAGCCGGACUGAGAGUACCUGAAGAAAAAGCAUAGGCUAACUCCGUGCCAGCAGCCGCGGUAAUACGGAGGAUGCGAGCGUUAUCCGGAAUUAUUGGGGUAAAGGGGUGCGUAGGCGGAAUGCCAAGUCAGCGGUAAAAUCGCGGGGCUCAACCUCGCUCCGCCGUUGAGACUGGCGUUAUUGAGUGGGCGAGAAGUAUGGGGAAGGCGUGGGGUAGAGGUGAA
This 350-nucleotide ribosomal RNA is filed under the name uncultured bacterium. RNAcentral's name for it is "partial 16S ribosomal RNA". It matches the Rfam family "Bacterial small subunit ribosomal RNA", at positions 338 to 685 of the family's 1533-position model. The record is from RNAcentral.